AUUUCAUUCACUAAUAUAAAUAUAUCAUUUACUCUAUUGAAUUGACGCAGCAGAUGGAAGGGAGAGAUAUAUUUUGUACACCACUUUAAUAUUAAUAUAAAAAUCUUCGCUCCGUCUCCAUCUGUGAAAGUAGGCCCGUGGCCAAACCCCAUAUAUGUUUAUAUGCUUUAAUUUUCUUCUCUGUUUCUCAAUUCUUUUUUGGUAUUUUCGUACCGGACGAACUAGAUCUUUUCUAUUUUUGCCUUAACAAAUUUGGUAU
This 259-nucleotide long non-coding RNA is filed under the name Ananas comosus (pineapple). RNAcentral describes it as "long non-coding RNA (ACOM_LNC019169)". Lineage: Eukaryota; Viridiplantae; Streptophyta; Magnoliopsida; Poales; Bromeliaceae. The record is from RNAcentral.